This 480-nucleotide ribosomal RNA is filed under the name uncultured bacterium. Its description in RNAcentral is "partial 16S ribosomal RNA". It matches the Rfam family "Bacterial small subunit ribosomal RNA", at positions 28 to 523 of the family's 1533-position model. The record is from RNAcentral.
GACGAACGCUGGCGGCGUGCUUAACACAUGCAAGUCGAACGAUGAAGUUCCUUCGGGAAUGGAUUAGUGGCGAACGGGUGAGGAACACGUGAGAAACCUGCCUUUCAUUUUGGGAUAACUCCGGGAAACCGGGGCUAAAACCGAAUACUCCGUCUCGGCGGCAUCGCUGAGCCGGGAAAAAAGUUUGAUGAAAGAUGGUCUCGCGGCCUAUCAGCCAGUUGGUGAGGUAAUGGCUCACCAAGGCAACGACGGGUAGCCGGCCUGUGAGGGCGAUCGGCCACACUGGGACUGAGACACGGCCCAGACUCCAACGGGAGGCAGCAGUGGGGAAUAUUGGGCAAUGGGCGCAAGCCUGACCCAGCGACGCCGCGUGAGGGAUGAAGGCCUUCGGGUUGUAAACCUCAUUCAGUAGGGAAGAAGCGAAAGUGACGGUACCUAAAGAAGAAGCACCGGCUAACUAUGUGCCAGCCGCCGCCGUAA